UGCCAAAGUCGACCGCGACUGGCUCAGCCUGUGUCCAUCCCUGCAGCCAGAGAAAUGUGCCGCUGUGCUGGGCCAGGCCUGGGCCCGUGGAAGCACAUGAACAGACGGGGAAGAGCUGCUGCCCCAAAGGAAAAGCCUUGUGCUGCCCUCACAAGAAGGAGAUGCUGGGCAGGAAGAACAUUAUCACAUCUGCUUCGACCAAUGGGGUUAUCGGUUCUUUUGAGCUCACCCUGAGGUCUGUCCUGGGCAGUUUUCAGACUCGUGCAGAGGGUUUGGAUAAGGCCUCGAGUGGCUGCAGGCUUCCACAGAGAAGAGCUGCCUUUGGGGUGCUGGGGGACAGGGAGAUUCUUACUCACCAAGGUUAACACUGCGCAUACUGUUAUCCGGAGGAAGCGGGAAUUUCCACACGAUGCGGGCCUCUGGUUUGCUGGGCUACAGCUGUGUUCUCGGAGCCACUGCCCACUUCCCAGGACAGAUGACACUUGUCUCUAACUGCAUCAUCCAGCACAGAAGCUGCUACUGUGGCUUGAAAUGUGGCCAGUCCAAAAUAAGAUGGAUGCUGAGGCCUGAAAAUUCUAAACUCUUCUCAAAACUAGCUGGAGGAUGAAGUCAACAAGCAGGAGGGCAGAGCCAGAGGCAUAGGAGAACUUGAGUAAACGAGCCUGCACGCUCACACGUAAAGGAGCUACACUGAUCGAGACUGCAAUUCUUCCAUCAAGUGGCAAGCAUACUGUAGAAGAAUGACCAACACAGGUCACACAUGCAGCCUGUUAAAGAAAACAUGUGAAAUGUAAACAGCUAUUUAAUCUGAAAAAAUAUAUAGCUGCAGGUGAAAGAGUAAUAGUAUAUUUGUGUACAGAGUUCUCCACAGCACAAGAUGCGCUGUGGGCAGACAGGGUAGUACAAUGGACUAAGCCCCUGGUCUCAUGAAGCUUGUAAUUACAGACAAAUGAAACAAACAAAAAACCAUGUUUAUUGAGUAUGGUAACUGAUGAGAAAUAACAGCAAAGAAGGUUAAUGAGGAAAGGUUUUCUGAACUGCCAGAGUAUGAACUUCAAUUUUAAAGGUUGGUAAUACUGAGAGGGUGUGGGAAAUGGUGCAUUACAGGAUGAGGAAAAGUUAAGUAUUUAGGAACGUGGGUGGAAAUUCAGUAACAUACUGCUGUGAUGGCAGCAGGUAAGGUUCUAGAUGACUCCACUGUCAGGUUCAUGACACAGUAGGGCAGAAGGAAAAAAAACUUAUAAUCGGAGACAGAGCUUCAACUUGGAAUGCCUGUUCCACUAUGUCCAUCUGUCUGACUCUGGGCAAGUAACAACCCUCCCCGUGUCAGUCUCCUCACUUUACAAAAUGGGAAAAUGUAGCUUGGGUCGGGGGCUUAGAGAUGACACGAGACGAGGCGUGUUAAGUCACAUGUGAUAGAAAGGUACUUGAUCAUGGUAGUUAUCACUUAAAAUUUUUUUUUAAAUGUUCAUUCAUUCAUUUCCAUAGAGAGAGAGUGCAAGCAGGGGA
Lynx canadensis (Canada lynx) is the source of this 1509-nucleotide long non-coding RNA. RefSeq lists it as uncharacterized. Lineage: Eukaryota; Metazoa; Chordata; Mammalia; Carnivora; Felidae. The record is from RefSeq and is a predicted model, not a curated record. The transcript is spliced from 4 exons.